This 310-nucleotide ribosomal RNA is filed under the name uncultured bacterium. RNAcentral's name for it is "bacterial SSU rRNA". It matches the Rfam family "Bacterial small subunit ribosomal RNA", at positions 30 to 339 of the family's 1533-position model. The record is from RNAcentral.
AUUGAACGCUGGCGGCAUGCUUUAUACAUGCAAGUCGUGCGGCAGCGCGGGGGCAACUCUGGCGGCGAGCGGCGAACAGGUGAGUAAUACAUAGGAACGUAUCCUGAAAUGGGGGAGUAGCUCGGCGAAAGCCGGAUUAAUACCGCAUACGCUCCACGGAGGAAAGCAGGGGAUCGCAAGACCUUGCGUUUCUGGAGCGGCCUAUGUCUGAUUAGCUAGUUGGCGGGGUAAUAGCCCACCAAGGCGACGAUCAGUAGCUGGUCUGAGAGGAUGAUCAGCCACACUGGGACUGAGACACGGCCCAGACCCC